RNAcentral lists this ribosomal RNA (505 nucleotides) under uncultured bacterium. RNAcentral's name for it is "partial 16S ribosomal RNA". It matches the Rfam family "Bacterial small subunit ribosomal RNA", at positions 28 to 507 of the family's 1533-position model. The record is from RNAcentral.
GACGAACGCUGGCGGCGUGCCUAAUACAUGCAAGUAGAACGCACAGUUUAUACCGUAGCUUGCUACACCAUAGACUGUGAGUUGCGAACGGGUGAGUAACGCGUAGGUAACCUGCCUGGUAGCGGGGGAUAACUAUUGGAAACGAUAGCUAAUACCGCAUAAUAUUAAUUAUUGCAUGAUAAUUAAUUGAAAGGUGCAAUUGCACCACUACCAGAUGGACCUGCGUUGUAUUAGCUAGUAGGUGAGGUAACGGCUCACCUAGGCGACGAUACAUAGCCGACCUGAGAGGGUGGUCGGCCAGACUGGGACGGAGACACGGCCCAGACUCCUACGGGAGGGAGCAGUAGGGAAUCUUGGGCAAGGGGCGAGAGUCUGACCGAGCAACGCCGCGGGAGUGAAGAAGGGUUUCGGGUCGGAAAGCUCGGUUGUAAGGGAAGAACGGGUGUGAGGGUGGAAAGUUCACACUGUGACGGUAUCUGACGAGAAAGGGACGGCUAACUACGUG